CAAAAAUCUCAAUUACUUUUGC
Molecule: microRNA, 22 nt
Filed under: Callithrix jacchus (white-tufted-ear marmoset)
Lineage: Eukaryota; Metazoa; Chordata; Mammalia; Primates; Cebidae
Also listed under: 2 other names
Description: cja-miR-548j
Gene: cja-miR-548j
Source: miRBase by way of RNAcentral